GACGAACGCUGGCGGCGUGCUUAACACAUGCAAGUCGAACGGAAAGGCCCUGCUUUGGUGGGGUGCUCGAGUGGCGAACGGGUGAGUAACACGUGAGUAACCUGCCCUGGACUUUGGGAUAACUUCAGGAAACUGGGGCUAAUACCGGAUAGGAGCUCCUGCUGCAUGGUGGGGGUUGGAAAGUUUCGGCGGUUGGGGAUGGACUCGCGGCUUAUCAGCUUGUUGGUGGGGUAGUGGCUUACCAAGGCUUUGACGGGUAGCCGGCCUGAGAGGGUGACCGGCCACAUUGGGACUGAGAUACGGCCCAGACUCCUACGGGAGGCAGCAGUGGGGAAUAUUGCACAAUGGGCGGAAGCCUGAUGCAGCAACGCCGCGUGCGGGAUGACGGCCUUCGGGUUGUAAACCGCUUUCGCCUGUGACGAAGCGUGAGUGACGGUAAUGGGUAAAGAAGCACCGGCUAACUACGUG
Molecule: ribosomal RNA, 468 nt
Filed under: uncultured bacterium
Lineage: Bacteria
Description: partial 16S ribosomal RNA
Rfam family: Bacterial small subunit ribosomal RNA
Source: RNAcentral